GCUCCAGACUCCUACGGGAGGCAGCAGUGGGGGAUAUUGCACAAUGGGGGAAACCCUGAUGCAGCGACGCCGCGUGAGUGAAGAAGUAUUUCGGUAUGUAAAGCUCUAUCAGCAGGGAAGAAAAUGACAGUACCUGACCAAGAAGCCCUGGCUAACUACGUGCCAGCAGCCGCGGUAAUACGUAGGGGGCAAGCGUUAUCCGGAUUCACUGGGUGUAAAGGGAGCGUAGACGGCCAUGCAAGCCUGGAGUGAAAGCCCGGGGCCCAACCCCGGGACUGCUCUGGGAACUGUGCGGCUGGAGUGCGGGAGGGGCAGGCGGAAUUCCUGGUGUAGCGGUGAAAUGCGUAGAUAUUGGGAGGAACACCAGUGGCGAAGGCGGCUUACUGGACUGUAACUGACGUUGAGGCUCGAAAGCGUGGGGAGCAAACAGGAUUAGAUACCCGCGUACU
Molecule: ribosomal RNA, 449 nt
Filed under: uncultured bacterium
Lineage: Bacteria
Description: bacterial SSU rRNA
Rfam family: Bacterial small subunit ribosomal RNA
Source: RNAcentral